AACGAACGCUGGCGGCAUGCCUAACACAUGCAAGUCGAACGAGACCUUCGGGUCUAGUUGCGCACGGGUGCGUACCGCGUGGGAACCUGCCCUUAGGUUCGGAAUAACUCCCCGAAAGGUGUGCUAAUACCGGAUAAUGUCUUCGGGCCAAAGAUUUAUCGCCUUUGGAUGGGCCCGCGUUGGAUUAGCUAGUUGGUAGGGGAAAAGCCUACCAAGGCGACGAUCCAUAGCUGGUCAGAGAGAAUGGUCAGCCACACUGGGACUGAGACACGGCCCAGACUCCUGCGGGAGGAAGCAGUAGGGAAGAUUGGACAAUGGGCGAAUGACGGAGCAAGCAAUGCCGCGUGAGUGAUGAAGGCCUGAGGGUUGUAAAGCUCGUUUGCCCGGGAGGAUAAGGACAGUACCGGGAGAAUGAGCUCCGGCUAACUCCGUG
RNAcentral lists this ribosomal RNA (433 nucleotides) under uncultured bacterium. RNAcentral describes it as "partial 16S ribosomal RNA". It matches the Rfam family "Bacterial small subunit ribosomal RNA", at positions 29 to 507 of the family's 1533-position model. The record is from RNAcentral.